UACGAAGGAUGCAAGCGUUAUCCGGAUUCAUUGGGUUUAAAGGGAGCGUAGGUGGCCUUAUAAGUCAGUGGUGAAAUCUCUCGGCUUAACCGAGAAAUUGCCAUUGAUACUGUAGGGCUUGAGUAUAGUUGCCGUUGGCGGAAUAUGACAUGUAGUGGUGAAAUACAUAGAGAUGUCAUAGAACACCGAUUGCGAAGGCAGCUGACGAAACUAUAACUGACACUGGAGGCUCGAAAGUGCGGGGAUCAAACAGG
This 254-nucleotide ribosomal RNA is filed under the name uncultured bacterium. Its description in RNAcentral is "partial 16S ribosomal RNA". It matches the Rfam family "Bacterial small subunit ribosomal RNA", at positions 524 to 776 of the family's 1533-position model. The record is from RNAcentral.